RNAcentral lists this ribosomal RNA (509 nucleotides) under uncultured Tomentella. RNAcentral's name for it is "eukaryotic LSU rRNA". The stretch from base 1 to 126 matches the Rfam family "5.8S ribosomal RNA", at positions 30 to 154 of the family's 154-position model. Lineage: Eukaryota; Fungi; Basidiomycota; Agaricomycetes; Thelephorales; Thelephoraceae. The record is from RNAcentral.
GCAUCGAUGAAGAACGCAGCGAAAUGCGAUAAGUAAUGUGAAUUGCAGAAUUCAGUGAAUCAUCGAAUCUUUGAACGCACCUUGCGCCCCUUGGCUAUUCCGAGGGGCAUGCCUGUUUGAGUAUCAUGAACACCUCAACUCUCAUGGUUCRCCAUGAUGAGCUUGGACUCUGGGGGUUUUGCUGGCCUGCGGUCGGCUCCCCUCAAAUGAAUCAGCCUCCCAGUGUUUGGUGGCAUCACGGGUGUGAUAAAUAUCUACGCUCGCGGUYGUCUGCCAGGUAACCUUUGGUGACAAAGGUUYGCUGGAGCUCACAGAUGUCUCUCCUCGGCGAGGACAGCUUUUUUGAACGUUCGAUCUCAAAUCAGGUAGGACUACCCGCUGAACUUAAGCAUAUCAAUAAGCGGAGGAAAAGAAACUAACAAGGAUUCCCCUAGUAACUGCGAGUGAAGCGGGAAGAGCUCAAAUUUAAAAUCUGGCGUGCCUCUGGUCGUCCGAGUGAGUCAGRGAAG